This 425-nucleotide ribosomal RNA is filed under the name uncultured bacterium. Its description in RNAcentral is "partial 16S ribosomal RNA". It matches the Rfam family "Bacterial small subunit ribosomal RNA", at positions 354 to 796 of the family's 1533-position model. The record is from RNAcentral.
GUGGGGAAUAUUGGGCAAUGGGGGAAACCCUGACCCAGCAACGCCGCGUGAAGGAAGAAGGUUUUCGGAUCGUAAACUUCUAUCCUUGGUGAAGAUAAUGACGGUAGCCAAGAAGGAAGCCCCGGCUAACUACGUGCCAGCAGCCGCGGUAAUACGUAGGGGGCAAGCGUUGUCCGGAAUGAUUGGGCGUAAAGGGCGCGUAGGCGGCCUGGUAAGUCUGGAGUGAAAGUCCUGCUUUUAAGGUGGGAAUUGCUUUGGAUACUGUCGGGCUUGAGUGCAGGAGAGGUAAGCGGAAUUCCCGGUGUAGCGGUGAAAUGCGUAGAGAUCGGGAGGAACACCAGUGGCGAAGGCGGCUUACUGGACUGUAACUGACGCUGAGGCGCGAAAGUGUGGGGAGCAAACAGGAUUAGAUACCCGUGUAGUCC